This 372-nucleotide ribosomal RNA is filed under the name uncultured bacterium. Its description in RNAcentral is "bacterial SSU rRNA". It matches the Rfam family "Bacterial small subunit ribosomal RNA", at positions 1135 to 1506 of the family's 1533-position model. The record is from RNAcentral.
UCACUCUAGCGAGACUGCCGGUAAUAAACCGGAGGAAGGUGGGGAUGACGUCAAAUCAUCAUGCCCCUUAUGACCUGGGCUACACACGUGCUACAAUGGCUGGUACAACGAGUCGCAAGCCGGUGACGGCAAGCUAAUCUCUGAAAGCCAGUCUCAGUUCGGAUUGUAGGCUGCAACUCGCCUACAUGAAGUCGGAAUCGCUAGUAAUCGCGGAUCAGCACGCCGCGGUGAAUACGUUCCCGGGCCUUGUACACACCGCCCGUCACACCACGAGAGUUUGUAACACCCGAAGUCGGUGAGGUAACCGUAAGGAGCCAGCCGCCUAAGGUGGGAUAGAUGAUUGGGGUGAAGUCGUAACAAGGUAACCGUAAA